GUCGACGAGUUCUCGUUGAUGAUCGGUGCUUGCACCGAGAUUCAACACAGAACGAGUGGCGGACGGGUGAGUAACACGUGGGUAACCUGCCCUUAAGUGGGGGAUAACAUUUGGAAACAGAUGCUAAUACCGCAUAGAUCCAAGAACCGCAUGGUUCUUGGCUGAAAGAUGGCGUAAGCUAUCGCUUUUGGAUGGACCCGCGGCGUAUUAGCUAGUUGGUGAGGUAAUGGCUCACCAAGGCGAUGAUACGUAGCCGAACUGAGAGGUUGAUCGGCCACAUUGGGACUGAGACACGGCCCAAACUCCUACGGGAGGCAGCAGUAGGGAAUCUUCCACAAUGGACGCAAGUCUGAUGGAGCAACGCCGCGUGAGUGAAGAAGGCUUUCGGGUCGUAAAACUCUGUUGUUGGAGAAGAAUGGUCGGCAGAGUAACUGUUGUCGGCGUGACGGUAUCCAACCAGAAAGCCACGGCUAACUACGUGCCAGCAGCCGCGGUAAUACGUAGGUGGCAAGCGUUAUCCGGAUUUAUUGGGCGUAAAGCGAGCGCAGGCGGUUUUUUAAGUCUGAUGUGAAAGCCCUCGGCUUAACCGAGGAAGCGCAUCGGAAACUGGGAAACUUGAGUGCAGAAGAGGACAGUGGAACUCCAUGUGUAGCGGUGAAAUGCGUAGAUAUAUGGAAGAACACCAGUGGCGAAGGCGGCUGUCUGGUCUGUAACUGACGCUGAGGCUCGAAAGCAUGGGUAGCGAACAGGAUUAGAUACCCUGGUAGUCCAUGCCGUAAACGAUGAAUGCUAGGUGUUGGAGGGUUUCCGCCCUUCAGUGCCGCAGCUAACGCAUUAAGCAUUCCGCCUGGGGAGUACGACCGCAAGGU
Molecule: ribosomal RNA, 869 nt
Filed under: uncultured bacterium
Lineage: Bacteria
Description: bacterial SSU rRNA
Rfam family: Bacterial small subunit ribosomal RNA
Source: RNAcentral